RNAcentral lists this ribosomal RNA (508 nucleotides) under uncultured bacterium. RNAcentral describes it as "partial 16S ribosomal RNA". It matches the Rfam family "Bacterial small subunit ribosomal RNA", at positions 30 to 523 of the family's 1533-position model. The record is from RNAcentral.
AUUGAACGCUGGUGGCAUGCCUUACACAUGCAAGUCGAACGGCAGCGGGGGAGAAGCUUGCUUUUCCUGCCGGCGAGUGGCGAACGGGUGAGUAAUACAUCGGAACGUGCCCUGUAGUGGGGGAUAACUAGUCGAAAGAUUAGCUAAUACCGCAUACGACCUGAGGGUGAAAGUGGGGGACCGCAAGGCCUCAUGCUAUAGGAGCGGCCGAUGUCUGAUUAGCUAGUUGGUGGGGUAAAGGCCUACCAAGGCGACGAUCAGUAGCUGGUCUGAGAGGAUGAUCAGCCACACUGGGACUGAGACACGGCCCAGACUCCUACGGGAGGCAGCAGUGGGGAAUUUUGGACAAUGGGCGAAAGCCUGAUCCAGCAAUGCCGCGUGUGUGAAGAAGGCCUUCGGGUUGUAAAGCACUUUUGUCCGGAAAGAAAUGGCUCUGGUUAAUACCUGGGGUCGAUGACGGUACCGGAAGAAUAAGGACCGGCUAACUACGUGCCAGCCGCCGCAGUAA